GUGAAUCAUCGAAUUUUUGAACGCAAAUUGCACUUUCUGGUAUUCCGGAAAGUAUGCCUGUUUGAGGGUCAGUUAAAAUAAAAUCGGGGUUGUUUCUUCUUUUCGUUGUUACGCGUCGGAAUUGAGUUGUCUUACCCUCGGUUUAGUGACUUAAAAUUUUGCCUGAUUUUCGUUCGUAUUUAAAUUUCUUACGUACGUUUGAUUUAUCGAAUACUUUAUUAGGUUCGGUCAUCCUCAUGAUUCGCACCUAUAAUUUUUCAUUAAAUUACCUCCAAUCAGGUAAGAAUACCCGCUUAACCUU
RNAcentral lists this unclassified non-coding RNA (301 nucleotides) under Glomus sp. RNAcentral describes it as "partial contains 5.8S ribosomal RNA, internal transcribed spacer 2, and large subunit ribosomal RNA". The stretch from base 1 to 71 matches the Rfam family "5.8S ribosomal RNA", at positions 84 to 154 of the family's 154-position model. The record is from RNAcentral. Lineage: Eukaryota; Fungi; Glomeromycota; Glomeromycetes; Glomerales; Glomeraceae.